Coregonus clupeaformis (lake whitefish) is the source of this 815-nucleotide long non-coding RNA. RefSeq lists it as uncharacterized. Lineage: Eukaryota; Metazoa; Chordata; Actinopteri; Salmoniformes; Salmonidae. The transcript is spliced from 7 exons. The record is from RefSeq and is a predicted model, not a curated record.
CUUGUGUCUUAUCAUGAACGGGGUAUGAAAAGGAGGUCCUCAGCCCUGGUGAUGGAGGCUGCUGCAACUACCUGUGUCUGUAGUAAGAACUGGAUUGGUAACUACAGGCGUUCACUUAAAGCCUCCUGCAACACCCGGCACUGCAAAGCUGCUGGUUAUAAGCGCAGUGUGUCUGCCUAUAAUUUAUUUUGCGCAGAGGUGCUGAAGGGGAAAGUUGUCUGAUUUUGAGGAUCUGGGGGUGGAGGCUGUUGUCCUCAUCUUGAAGAAAAACCUGGCCAACAGGUGGAGCACCUGGCCAACAGUUUGUCAGUACCCCCCAGACAUGGGGAGGGCCAGCCGGGCCCCAGUGGACCUCCAGUCCCCCCAAGAAGUGGCGAGGGCCAGCCGGGCCCCAGUGGACCUCCAGUCCCCUCCAGAUAUGGCGAGGGCCAGCCGGGUCCCAGUGGACCUCCAGUACCCCUCUGACGUUGCGAGGGCCAGCCGGGCCCCAGUGGACCUCCAGUGCCUCCCAGACGUUGCGAGGAACAGUCUGGCCUCAGCGGACCUCUGGGGCCCCCCAGACCCCUUGUUGCAUCGACACCUGAUCAGCUGACCUUUGUGGUUUCUUCUGGGUAUCCUGCCUUGGAGACUUUUCUGGGGCUGCAUGUCUUGCCUGGACCCACCGGGCACACAGGUCCUGCAGUUGGUGGGUCAUUGGGACCCAUAACUGACACUCUUGCCCAGGCCAUGCUGGUGUCAGAUAUAUCCCCAGACACCCUGGUGACAUUGGACAUCUGCCAACUUUAUGACCAUUUCAAAUAAAACAAAUCUUCCUA